AACGAACGCUGGCGGCAUGCCUAACACAUGCAAGUCGAACGAGACCUUCGGGUCUAGUGGCGCACGGGUGCGUAACGCGUGGGAACCUGCCCUUAGGUUCGGAAUAACUCCCCGAAAGGGGUGCUAAUACCGGAUAAUGUCUUCGGACCAAAGAUUUAUCGCCUUUGGAUGGGCCCGCGUUGGAUUAGCUAGUUGGUAGGGUAAAAGCCUACCAAGGCGACGAUCCAUAGAUGGUCUGAGAGGAUGAUCAGCCACACUGGGACUGAGACACGGCCCAGACUCCUACGGGAAGCAGCAGUGGGGAAUAUUGGACAAUGGGCGAAAGCCUGAUCCAGCAAUGCCGCGUGAGUGAUGAAGGCCUUAGGGUUGUAAAGCUCUUUUACCCGGGAUGAUAAUGACAGUACCGGGAGAAUAAGCUCCGGCUAACUCCGUG
RNAcentral lists this ribosomal RNA (433 nucleotides) under uncultured bacterium. Its description in RNAcentral is "partial 16S ribosomal RNA". It matches the Rfam family "Bacterial small subunit ribosomal RNA", at positions 29 to 507 of the family's 1533-position model. The record is from RNAcentral.